Molecule: long non-coding RNA, 411 nt
Organism: Pezoporus flaviventris
Lineage: Eukaryota; Metazoa; Chordata; Aves; Psittaciformes; Psittacidae
Exons: 3
Source: RefSeq, a predicted model, not a curated record
AUGAUAUUCUCCUAAGUCACCAACAUGGACUUCAGUAGCUUGCUAGGAGUGGAGAGCUUCGUGCUGAUUGCUGAAGGUGAUUUUGAGACAAAACACUUGCAUAAUGGUAUGAUACAAUUUGUCUUUGUGUCAGAGGGAACUGUUUAAAUGACUUGAGACUUCAGAAGACCUUUGAACUUGAGCUUUCCAGUAUACAGUGUUAAAAAUGGAGCCCCCCGGUUACUGCUAACAAUUACAGCUAUCAGUGUUGUACUGCAUUUUACCAAUCUGCUCUUGCUUCAGGAGACUAGCCAUAUCUUACAAAAAUGCACUGUUAUUAAAUAUUCUCACAUGGGAUGUCUAUAUGUCGGAAGACCCUUAUGUGACCUGUGGACAGACACCGUGUUUUGCGUAGUAUAUAUACUUUCAUUU